Molecule: unclassified non-coding RNA, 21 nt
Filed under: Mus musculus (house mouse)
Lineage: Eukaryota; Metazoa; Chordata; Mammalia; Rodentia; Muridae
Description: oocyte_clustered_small_RNA5238
Source: RNAcentral
ACUGGAGAGUUCGCCAUGGCU